This 402-nucleotide ribosomal RNA is filed under the name bacterium. RNAcentral's name for it is "partial 16S ribosomal RNA". It matches the Rfam family "Bacterial small subunit ribosomal RNA", at positions 355 to 776 of the family's 1533-position model. The record is from RNAcentral.
UGGGGAAUUUUGCACAAUGGGGGAAACCCUGAUGCAGCGACGCCGCGUGAUUUAGAAGGCCUUCGGGUUGUAAAAAUCUUUUCUAUGGGAAGAAAAUGACAGUACCAUAGGAAUAAGGACCGGCUAAUUACGUGCCAGCAGCCGCGGUAAUACGUAAGGUCCGAGCGUUGUCCGGAAUCAUUGGGCGUAAAGGGUACGUAGGCGGGUAAGCAAGUUAGAAGUGAAAUCCUAUAGCUCAACUAUAGUAAGCUUUUAAAACUGCUCAUCUUGAGGUAUGGAAGGGAAAGUGGAAUUCCUAGUGUAGCGGUGAAAUGCGCAGAUAUUAGGAGGAAUACCGGGGGCGAAGGCGACUUUCUGGCCAUAACCUGACGCUGAGGUACGAAAGCGUGGGUAGCAAACAGG